CCUACGGGUGGCAGCAGUGAGGAAUAUUGGUCAAUGGGCGCAAGCCUGAACCAGCCAAGUCGCGUGAGGGAUGACGGUCCUAUGGAUUGUAAACCUCUUUUGUCGGGGAGCAAGGCCCGCCACGUGUGGCGGGAAGGAGAGGACCCGAAGAAAAAGCAGCGGCGAACUCCGUGCCAGCAGCCGCGGUAAGACGGAGGAUGCGAGCGUUAUCCGGAUUGAUGGGGUUGAAAGGGUGCGUAGGCGGAAGGUUAAGUCAGCGGUCAACUGUCGGGGCUCAACACCGGCCUGCCGUUGAAACGGGUCUUCUUGAGUGCGCGAGCCGUCUGCGGCAUGCGUGGUGUAGCGGU
RNAcentral lists this ribosomal RNA (347 nucleotides) under uncultured bacterium. Its description in RNAcentral is "partial 16S ribosomal RNA". It matches the Rfam family "Bacterial small subunit ribosomal RNA", at positions 338 to 682 of the family's 1533-position model. The record is from RNAcentral.